Molecule: ribosomal RNA, 496 nt
Filed under: uncultured bacterium
Lineage: Bacteria
Description: partial 16S ribosomal RNA
Rfam family: Bacterial small subunit ribosomal RNA
Source: RNAcentral
GAUGAACGCUGGCGGCGUGCCUAAUACAUGCAAGUCGAGCGAACAGACGAGGAGCUUGCUCCUCUGACGUUAGCGGCGGACGGGUGAGUAACACGUGGAUAACCUACCUAUAAGACUGGGAUAACUUCGGGAAACCGGAGCUAAUACCGGAUAAUAUAUUGAACCGCAUGGUUCAAUAGUGAAAGACGGUUUUGCUGUCACUUAUAGAUGGAUCCGCGCCGCAUUAGCUAGUUGGUAAGGUAACGGCUUACCAAGGCGACGAUGCGUAGCCGACCUGAGAGGGGGAUCGGCCACACUGGAACUGAGACACGGCCCAGAGUCCGACGGGAGGCAGCAGUAGGGAAGCUUCCGCAAUGGGCGGAAGCCUGACGGAGCAACGCCGCGUGAGUGAUGAAGGUCUGCGGAUCGUAAAACGCUGUUAUUAGGGAAGAACAAAUGUGUAAGUAACGAUGCGCGUCUGGACGGUACCUAAACAGAAAGCCACGGCUAACUACGU